RNAcentral lists this ribosomal RNA (704 nucleotides) under uncultured bacterium. Its description in RNAcentral is "bacterial SSU rRNA". It matches the Rfam family "Bacterial small subunit ribosomal RNA", at positions 60 to 733 of the family's 1533-position model. The record is from RNAcentral.
AGUCGACGAGAGGACAUGGGAAGCUUGCUUCCUAUGAAAUCGAGUGGCAAACGGGUGAGUAACGCGUAAACAACCUGCCCUUCGGAUGGGGAUAACAGCCGGAAACGGCUGCUAAUACCGAAUACGAUCUUUUCGUCGCAUGACGGAAAGAAGAAAGGAUGGCCUCUAUACAAAGCUAUCGCCGAAGGAGGGGUUUGCGUCUGAUUAGCUGGUUGGAGGGGUAACGGCCCAACAAGGCGAUGAUCAGUAGCCGGUCUGAGAGGAUGAACGGCCACAUUGGGACUGAGACACGGCCCAGACUCCUACGGGAGGCAGCAGUGGGGAAUCUUCCGCAAUGGACGAAAGUCUGACGGAGCAACGCCGCGUGAGUGAAGAAGGUCUUCGGAUUGUAAAGCUCUGUUAUACGGGACGAAAAAGACGGAUGCCAACAGUAUCCGUCCGUGACGGUACCGUAAGAGAAAGCCACGGCUAACUACGUGCCAGCAGCCGCGGUAAUACGUAGGUGGCAAGCGUUGUCCGGAAUUAUUGGGCGUAAAGGGCGCGCAGGCGGUUCGGUAAGUCUGUCUUAAAAGUGCGGGGCUUAACCCCGUGAGGGGACGGAAACUGUCGAACUUGAGUGUCGGAGAGGAAAGCGGAAUUCCUAGUGUAGCGGUGAAAUGCGUAGAUAUUAGGAGGAACACCGGUGGCGAAAGCGGCUUUCUGGA